This 451-nucleotide ribosomal RNA is filed under the name uncultured bacterium. RNAcentral's name for it is "partial 16S ribosomal RNA". It matches the Rfam family "Bacterial small subunit ribosomal RNA", at positions 29 to 523 of the family's 1533-position model. The record is from RNAcentral.
AACGAACGCUGGCGGCAGGCUUAACACAUGCAAGUCGAACGGGUGUAGCAAUACAUCAGUGGCAGACGGGUGAGUAACACGUGGGAACCUUCCUAGGGGUACGGAACAACUCAGGGAAACUUGAGCUAAUACCGUAUACGUCCGUGAGGAGAAAGAUUUAUCGCCCUUAGACGGGCCCGCGUCGGAUUAGCUAGUUGGUGGGGUAACGGCCUACCAAGGCGACGAUCCGUAGCUGAUCUUAGAGGAUGAUCAGCCACACUGGGACUGAGACACGGCCCAGACUCCUACGGGAGGCGGCAGUGGGGAAUCUUGGACAAUGGGCGCAAGCCUGACCCAGCCAUGCCGCGUGAGUGAAGAAGGUCUUCGGAUUGUAAAGCUCUUUUGCCAGGGACGAUAAUGACGGUACCUGGAGAAUAAGCCCCGGCAAACUUCGUGCCAGCCGCCGCAGUAA